AUUGAACGCUGGCGGCAUGCCUUACACAUGCAAGUCGAACGAUAACGCGGGGCAACCUGGCGACGAGUGGCGAACGGGUGAGUAACGCAUCGGAACGUGCCCAAUCGUGGGGGAUAACGUAGAGAAUUUACGCUAAUACCGCAUGAGAUCUAAGGAUGAAAGCAGGGGAUCGCAAGACCUUGCGCGAUUGGAGCGGCUGAUGUCAGAUUAGGUAGUUGGUGGGGUAAAGGCCCACCAAGCCGACGAUCUGUAGCUGGUUUGAGAGAACGACCAGCCACACUGGGACUGAGACACGGCCCAGACUCCUACGGGAGGCAGCAGUGGGGAAUUUUGGACAAUGGGCGAAAGCCUGAUCCAGCAAUGCCGCGUGCAGGAAGAAGGCCUUCGGGUUGUAAACUGCUUUUGUACGGAACGAAAUAGCUCUGGUUAAUACCCGGAGUUGAUGACGGUACCGUAAGAAUAAGCACCGGCUAACUACGUGCCAGCCGCCGCAGUAA
This 497-nucleotide ribosomal RNA is filed under the name uncultured bacterium. RNAcentral's name for it is "partial 16S ribosomal RNA". It matches the Rfam family "Bacterial small subunit ribosomal RNA", at positions 30 to 523 of the family's 1533-position model. The record is from RNAcentral.